UACGGAGGGUGCAAGCGUUAAUCGGAAUUACUGGGCUUAAAGCGCACGCAGGCGGUUUGUUAAGUCAGAUGUGAAAUCCCCGGGCUCAACCUGGGAACUGCAUUUUAAACUGGUCAGCUAGAGUCGUGUAGAGGGGGGGAGAAUGUCACGUGUAGCGGUGAAAUGCGUAGAGAUGUGGAGGAAUACCGGUUGCGAAGGCAGCCCCCUGGACAAAGAUUGACGCUCAGGUGCGAAAGCGUGGGGAGCAAACAGG
This 253-nucleotide ribosomal RNA is filed under the name uncultured bacterium. RNAcentral's name for it is "partial 16S ribosomal RNA". It matches the Rfam family "Bacterial small subunit ribosomal RNA", at positions 524 to 776 of the family's 1533-position model. The record is from RNAcentral.